GCCAGUUUAGUGAUGGGAGGGAGUUCAGAUGUCAGAGUUACUUAAUCCCUUGGAGACAUCCAAGCAAAGGAUGCCUGCCCUGGAGCCAAAGAACAGUCAUGAUAACGAAGCUCCACUUACACCUCACUGGCAAAUCCUGUCUCCCUGAGAUGUAUAAAAUGCCUUUGAGGUUGCUAUUGCAGAAGAGGGACUGGAUUCAAAGUAGAGAUAAAGCAGAGAGAAGUCUAGCUGAAGGAUCAAUGGUCGGGUAUGCCUUCACCCCACCAACCAUACUGUGGAAGGAUGUCUGCUGUUCUCAUGUCAACUGUGCACAUCAGGAAGAAUGGAUUGCAUCCAAGAGAUUCCCCUGGAUGGCUAAGGGGCUCCCUUAAAGAGAAGACACUGGAGAUAUAGCCAGUUCUGUGAAGUGCUAACCGAGGGCCUACACAUGCUGAGGGGACACAGAGAGCGGAUGAGAAUGAAGUGGUACUAGUUCGCGUUCUCCAGAGAAAUAGCCAAUAAGAAGACAGGCACGUACAUGUAUAUGGAGAGGCACGGAGCAGGAGAGAAAAGGGAUAUAAGGAAUUUGCUCAUGUGAUUAUAGAGGCCGAGAAGCCCCCAUCCUACCAUCUGUUAACUGGAGAUCUAGGAGAGCUAAGUCACAAUGUCUGAAAGCCUGAGAACUAAGAGACUUGGUGCUGCACCUUUACGUUCAUGUCCCAGCUCAAAGCUAAGAAAGCAACCCUGGGGUGGCGACAGUUCAGGAGAGAUGCAGCGAAGGCAGCUGGUCAGAUCUGAUGCUCCCUUCACACUCCCGUUUCCACCAGCAAGUGUGAAAAUAGAGUCACCGAUCCUUCCUCAACUCUUCACCAUGGUUUUGACCUUGUCAUGACCAGUUAUUUUCUGGCUUAUCUCCACUAAUCUUGGGAGCCUCAGCACCAGCCCUGAGUUCAUAUCACACCACCAAAGUCUUUGACCUGGAAGAGCUUUAACUUCCUAAGCCUCCUGCUUCCACUGGGCAGCACUGGUACCCGGAGAAUCCUGUGUCCCUUGUCUACUCCAUCCUAUCAUUAAAAAUAAACCCGCUCCACUGCAGUCCCUUGAUGCUGAUUUCAGUAGACCUAUCAGCCUAUGUGUCUCUUGGCCCCCGGUGGCUUGGUACACAAUCAGGAUGAAAUGCUAGCCCUCCAAUUCAUCAAAGUCGUGGAGAAGUCUCAAGACCUCCACACUGAUCUUGGGUGUCCAAGUCUUUUCAGGUGCUUUCC
Long non-coding RNA from Mus musculus (house mouse), 1244 nucleotides. RefSeq annotates it as predicted gene, 42110. The transcript has 5 exons. The record is from RefSeq and is a predicted model, not a curated record. NCBI's taxonomy places the organism in Eukaryota, Metazoa, Chordata, Mammalia, Rodentia, Muridae.